GGGCCGUUAGCUCAGUUGGCAGAGCACCUGCCUUUUAAGCAGGGUGUCGCGCGUUCGAGUCGCGCACGGCUCA
RNAcentral lists this transfer RNA (73 nucleotides) under Chloroflexota bacterium. RNAcentral describes it as "Chloroflexi bacterium (anaerobic digester metagenome) tRNA-Lys". It matches the Rfam family "tRNA". From Rfam's summary of the family: Transfer RNA (tRNA) molecules are approximately 80 nucleotides in length. Their secondary structure includes four short double-helical elements and three loops (D, anti-codon, and T loops). Lineage: Bacteria; Bacillati; Chloroflexota. The record is from RNAcentral.